RNAcentral lists this ribosomal RNA (54 nucleotides) under Mycobilimbia epixanthoides. Its description in RNAcentral is "partial 28S ribosomal RNA". The record is from RNAcentral. Lineage: Eukaryota; Fungi; Ascomycota; Lecanoromycetes; Lecideales; Lecideaceae.
GAUUGACCUCGGAUCAGGUAGGAUACCCGCUGAACUUAAGCAUAUCCAUUAGCG